GACAGAGGGGGCAAGCGUUGCUCGGAAUUACUGGGCGUAAAGGGCGCGUAGGCGGGAUGGCAAGUCGGUCGUGAAAUCCUUCGGCUCAACCGAAGAACGUCGAUCGAUACUGCUGUUCUUGAGGGUUGCAGAGGAGACUGGAGUUCCCGGUGUAGCGGUGAAAUGUGUAGAGAUCGGGAGGAACACCGGUGGCGAAGGCGGGUCUCUGGGCAAUUCCUGACGCUGAGGCGCGAAAGCGUGGGGAGCAAACGGG
RNAcentral lists this ribosomal RNA (253 nucleotides) under uncultured bacterium. Its description in RNAcentral is "partial 16S ribosomal RNA". It matches the Rfam family "Bacterial small subunit ribosomal RNA", at positions 524 to 776 of the family's 1533-position model. The record is from RNAcentral.